ACUCAAAUGAAUUGACGGGGGCCCGCACAAGCGGUGGAGCAUGUGGUUUAAUUCGAUGCAACGCGAAAAACCUUACCUACUCUUGACAUCCCUGGAAGCCCGUAGAGAUAUGGGUGUGCCUUCGGGAAUCAGGUGACAGGCGCUGCAUGGCUGUCGUCAGCUCGUGUCGUGAGAUGUUGGGUUAAGUCCCGCAACGAGCGCAACCCUUGUCCUUAGUUGCCAGCAAUUCGGUUGGGGACUCUAAGGAGACUGCCGGUGUUAAACCGGAGGAAGGCGGGGACGACGUCAAGUCAUCAUGGCCCUUACGAGUAGGGCUACACACGUGCUACAAUGGGCGGUACAAAGGGUUGCAAAGCCGCGAGGCCAAGCUAAUCCCAAAAAGCCGUUCUCAGUCCGGAUCGAAGUCUGCAACUCGACUUCGUGAAGUCGGAAUCGCUAGUAAUCGCGAAUCAGCAUGUCGCGGUGAAUACGUUCUCGGGCCUUGUACACACCGCCCGU
Molecule: ribosomal RNA, 498 nt
Filed under: uncultured bacterium
Lineage: Bacteria
Description: partial 16S ribosomal RNA
Rfam family: Bacterial small subunit ribosomal RNA
Source: RNAcentral